This 66-nucleotide transfer RNA is filed under the name Therea petiveriana. RNAcentral describes it as "tRNA-Tyr". The record is from RNAcentral. Lineage: Eukaryota; Metazoa; Arthropoda; Insecta; Blattodea; Corydiidae.
AGUAGAAUGGCUGAGGAAAAUAGGUAAUAGAUUGUAAAUCUAUGAAGGGGUUAAUACCCUUCUACU